Molecule: long non-coding RNA, 747 nt
Filed under: Pan troglodytes (chimpanzee)
Lineage: Eukaryota; Metazoa; Chordata; Mammalia; Primates; Hominidae
Description: long non-coding RNA NONPTRT007374
Source: RNAcentral
GUCCCUGGCAUCCCAGCCCCCUGGCCUGACGAGGUUGGAAGGCUCCUUGGGCCCCCACCACUCUGCUGCAGCCAGGGUGGGUGCAGGGCUGGGAGGGUGAGCCACGAACUUGACAUCGGUGACCUUCACUGCCACCUGGUGGACAGCCUGGGAGUGGUAGCUGGUGGGCUGGGCGGCGGAAGGGGUGCAGUGUCCCGGACGAAGACGGCUGAGCAUCGUGGAGACCAGCAUAGAGAGGCCACAGCAAGUGGGGUGUGACAUCAGGGACAAGGGAGAGGUCACAGACUCGGACAGUGGCCGUCCUGUGCUGGCCCCUGCAUCUGGGUGGUUGGCAGGUGGAGCACCAAGAUACAGGGUUGAUAGGACUAGGCUGGAAUCCUGGACUCUCUCUGAUCCCGGCAAAGUCACAGAAGCUUCUCCUGUCCUGUCGCUGGUCUUUGGAAGGGAGGAAUGACACCCUCCUCCUGGGCUGGCGCGGGGAAGAGAAGCUCCUGCGUGUGAAACAGCUCCACCACCAAGCGCCUGCAGACGAGCGGUGUGUUCUGCCUGGAACCUGCCGAGGGAACGUGUGGGGAAGGUGUGGCCGCCCUGGGAGGCUCAGCUCUGCAGGAAAUUCGCUCCUUCUGAUGUGCGUUUCAAACGGCCCUAUGACAUCUUUUUCUUAAAUUGAGCCAUCCUGAAGGUGUGAGGCAGAUCUCCUGGUGGUUUUGUUUGUUUGUUUUUCAGACAGAGUCUCGCUCUGUCGCC